UAAUGGUUUCAUGACGUUCACUUACUCAAACUCAAAAGAUUAUAUGGCUCACGUAGUUGUAGAACUUUUUAUCUCAUCUCAUGUUUUCUCUAUAAAUACGCUUCAAUUGCAUAACUUUAUUUAACUCUCAUAUAUCUUCCUCUUCAUCUUAAUUUACUACCGCUCCUCUCCUCCUUCAUAGUACGUAUAACAAGAAAUAUUGUAUAAUACUUAGUCAUACAAAGAAAAUGGUUAAGUUCAGUACUUUCUUCAUCAUAGCUCUUCUUAUCUGUUCCACGCUUACAUACGCAUCAGCCAGGCUCAAUCCAACCUCCGUUUAUCCGGAAGAAAUCUCCAUCAAGAAAUUAGAACAAGGAGAGGAAAACUGUGAAGGUGUGGGAGAAGAAGAGUGCGUCUUGAUACGAAGAACUUUAGUUGCUCACACUGAUUACAUCUACACUCAAAACCACAGUCCUUAAAUAUGAUUACUUUGCUUCUGAACAUAUUGUUUGAAUUAAAUAAUGAUCAGUCGUCCAUAUAAAUCCAUAUACAUAUCUAUCUUCUUACUAUUGCAAUUUCUACGUUCUUAACGAAAUUACAACACAUAUAUACACUUGAUUGUAUCUUUGUCAUGCGUAUAAAGUAAAUCAGUUAUAUUGAACUAAGUGUUUUUUCUUUCUUCGUUCAUAAAUCAUAACAAAAGAUUCGAUAAAUAGUUUAAGAGUCGUCUUGCAGACCACACAAGCAAAUUAAUUAGUCUCAUCUCAUGUCAUUUGAUUCCUAUUUUGUUUUCAGUCUUAAAUUAAAGAAGCUGACCUUUUUUUUUGUUUUUUUUUGCGAAAAUUAAAUCCCCUCAUAGGUGAUAGCACCAGUUUCUCAUACCUCACUCACACGCAUUUAUAAAGAUAAUAAACGCAUACCACCAGCUAUAUAAUGACACAGCUGCAUCUAUAAAUGUAAAAUAGAGACAUAUAUGCUCUGGGAUUAUGUGUGGAUAUUAAAAAUAUAACGACGAACUUCGCAUUAACUCCCCAGGUCAAUGACAUAGACACAAUUUAUUCACCCAUGAAAUACUCAACUUUAAAAAAGAACUUGUUUUCUCAAAACAUAUGUUGAAGUUAAAAAAUUUGUAAGGUUAUACAUAAUUUGUUUUAGAGAAUUUAAUAGUACAAAUACUAUAAAUUAAAGUCAUGUAUAGAGUUUUGGAAAGUGGUCAAAAUCAGAUCACAAGUUUUUAACUUAUUUAUAAAAUGGAGAAAAACUUGAAAAAAGAAAACAAGAAGAAGAGUCGGGUGACAAUUAUGUAUUUUGGUCCCGUCUCUUCUCUUUUUCCCUGUGUCUGAAAGUAAAGGGGCGUUGACAAAAAGAAAGAUGGCUCUUUGAUGGGCUAAAAUGUUGGGCCAAGCCCAUAAUAUAAUUAGUUGGCAUUGUCAUAAACUCAAAUCUGGAAACCCUUACUUAUAGAUUCGUCGCGAACGGCGGCUGACCGGAAGAUCAGCUUGAGCGGCGGCGACUGUUAUCGUUCUUUUGUAAAAUGUUUCGAAGGAACAGGUUUCUGUCUUUACCGAUGGUGAUCGGAGCAGUUGUGAUUGGUGUGGUUUCAGGGAAAGCUAUAUUUGGGCCUCCGCUUGAUCAAUACUGGAAGGAGAAGCUUGAAGGAGAAGAAGCUGUUGUUGCUGCAAAGGAAGCCGCCACUGAAAAGAGCUCUGAUUCUUCUUAAUCUCCAUAAAAUAUUUUUGGGAUGUUUGAUGUAAAUCUCCGACCUUAACUAAGAAGAGCUUGGACAAAUGUUUGCAAGGAAGCACAAUGUUUGUUUACUGUAGGAGGAGGCGAUGCGAUGCAUACAAACAAAAUGUAACAAUGUAGUAAGUGCCUUGUAUUUCACGUUUUUGCAAACUCAAAGAGAAUAAUAAAACCCUAAGAAGCACAUCCUUCCUUAAUCAUUCUCA
Non-coding RNA from Camelina sativa (false flax), 1928 nucleotides. The record is from RefSeq and is a predicted model, not a curated record. NCBI's taxonomy places the organism in Eukaryota, Viridiplantae, Streptophyta, Magnoliopsida, Brassicales, Brassicaceae.